Molecule: long non-coding RNA, 251 nt
Filed under: Actinidia chinensis (golden kiwifruit)
Lineage: Eukaryota; Viridiplantae; Streptophyta; Magnoliopsida; Ericales; Actinidiaceae
Description: long non-coding RNA (ACHI_LNC000359)
Source: RNAcentral
GUGAUUUCAAACUGUUCGUCUCUCUCGCCAUUCUGUGUCGCCCACCACAAUGUACAACCAAGGUAGGUCGCCUUGUCAUUUUACCUUUUUGGCCUCAUUUUCUUGCACCUCCUUGCCUAGCAUCUGCAGUGUUCUACUCUGAUGAAGUGAUUGUUGUAGAAAUUUCAUAUUUGUUGGGGAUGUGUAUUUUCUGUACAUGAUUCUGUACUUUAGUUUUGAAUAAAAGAUCAUGUCCCAUCUUUAACCUUUGC